Molecule: ribosomal RNA, 517 nt
Filed under: uncultured bacterium
Lineage: Bacteria
Description: bacterial SSU rRNA
Rfam family: Bacterial small subunit ribosomal RNA
Source: RNAcentral
CUGAUCAGCGACGCCGCGUGAGUGAAGAAGUAUUUCGGUAUGUAAAGCUCUAUCAGCAGGGAAGAAAAUGACGGUACCUGACUAAGAAGCCCCGGCUAACUACGUGCCAGCAGCCGCGGUAAUACGUAGGGGGCAAGCGUUAUCCGGAUUUACUGGGUGUAAAGGGAGCGCAGACGGCAAUGCAAGUCUGAAGUGAAAGGCGUGGGCUCAACCCAUGAACUGCUUUGGAAACUGUAUAGCUUGAGUGUCGGAGGGGUAAGCGGAAUUCCUAGUGUAGCGGUGAAAUGCGUAGAUAUUAGGAGGAACACCGGAGGCGAAGGCGGCUUACUGGACGACAACUGACGUUGAGGCUCGAAGGCGUGGGGAGCAAACAGGAUUAGAUACCCUGGUAGUCCACGCAGUAAACGAUGAAUACUUGGUGUCGGGGAGGUAAACUCUUCGGUGCCGCAAGCUAACGCAUUAAGUAUUCCACCUGGGGAGUACGUUCGCAAGAAUGAAACUCAAAGGAAUUGACGGA